This 400-nucleotide unclassified non-coding RNA is filed under the name soil metagenome. Its description in RNAcentral is "partial contains 5.8S ribosomal RNA, internal transcribed spacer 2, and large subunit ribosomal RNA". The stretch from base 1 to 121 matches the Rfam family "5.8S ribosomal RNA", at positions 35 to 154 of the family's 154-position model. The record is from RNAcentral.
GAUGAAGAACGCAGCGAAAUGCGAUAAGUAAUGUGAAUUGCAGAAUUCAGUGAAUCAUCGAAUCUUUGAACGCACCUUGCGCCCUUUGGCCAUUCCGAAGGGCAUGCCUGUUUGAGUAUCAUGAACACCUCAACUCUCAUGGCUCGCCAUGAUGAGCUUGGAUUUGGGGGUCUUGCUGGCCUGUGGUCGGCUCCUCUCAAAUGGAUCAGCUUGCCAGUGUUUGGUGGCAUCACAGGUGUGAUAACUAUCUGCGCUUGUGGUUUUCCAUCAGAUAACCUUCAGUGAUGGAGGUUCGCUGGAGCUCAUAAACGUCUCCCCUAAGCGGGGACAGCCCUUUGAAUGUUUGAUCUCAAAUCAGGUAGGACUACCCGCUGAACUUAAGCAUAUCAAUAACGGAGGA